AUUGAACGCUGGCGGCAGGCCUAACACAUGCCAGUCGAGCGGAUGAAGGGAGCUUGCUCCUGGAUUCAGCGGCGGACGGGUGAGUAAUGCCUAGGAAUCUGCCUGGUAGUGGGGGAUAACGUCCGGAAACGGGCGCUAAUACCGCAUACGUCCUGAGGGAGAAAGUGGGGGAUCUUCGGACCUCACGCUACCAGAUGAGCCUAGGUCGGAUUAGCUAGUUGGUGGGGUAAAGGCCUACCAAGGCGACGAUCCGUAACUGGUCUGAGAGGAUGAUCAGUCACACUGGAACUGAGACACGGUCCAGACUCCUACGGGAGGCAGCAGUGGGGAAUAUUGGACAAUGGGCGAAAGCCUGAUCCAGCCAUGCCGCGUGUGUGAAGAAGGUCUUCGGAUUGUAAAGCACUUUAAGUUGGGAGGAAGGGCAGUAAGUUAAUACCUUGCGGUUUUGACGUUACCAACAGAAUAAGCACCGGCUAACUUCGUG
This 484-nucleotide ribosomal RNA is filed under the name uncultured bacterium. Its description in RNAcentral is "partial 16S ribosomal RNA". It matches the Rfam family "Bacterial small subunit ribosomal RNA", at positions 30 to 507 of the family's 1533-position model. The record is from RNAcentral.